Molecule: ribosomal RNA, 453 nt
Filed under: uncultured bacterium
Lineage: Bacteria
Description: bacterial SSU rRNA
Rfam family: Bacterial small subunit ribosomal RNA
Source: RNAcentral
AGCAUGAAGUUGCUUAGCAAACUUGAUGGCGACCGGCGCACGGGUGAGUAACGCGUAUCCAACCUUCCCUAUACUAGAGGAUAGCCCGGCGAAAGUCGGAUUAAUACUCUAUGUUGUAUUUAGAAGACAUCUGAAGAAUACCAAAGGUUUACCGGUAUAGGAUGGGGAUGCGUCUGAUUAGGUUGUUGGCGGGUAACGGCCACCAAGCCACGAUCAGUAGGGUCUGAGAGGAAGGUCCCCCACAUUGGAACUGAGACACGGUCCAAACUCCUACGGGAGGCAGCAGUGAGGAAUAUUGGUCAAUGGACGAGAGUCUGAACCAGCCAAGUAGCGUGCCAGGAUGACGGCCCUAUGGGUUGUAAACUGCUUUUAUACAGGGAUAAAGUGACGUACGUGUACGUUUUUGUAGGUACUGUAUGAAUAAGGACCGGCUAAUUCCGUGCCAGCAGCUGC